GACAGAGGGUGCGAACGUUGCUCGGAAUCACUGGGCGUAAAGCGCGUGUAGGCGGACCAUCAAGUCAGGUGUGAAAUCCCUGGGCUCAACCUAGGAACUGCAUCUGAAACUGGCGGUCUUGAGUGUCGGAGAGGGAAGCGGAAUUCCGGGUGUAGAGGUGAAAUUCGUAGAUAUCCGGAGGAACACCGGUGGCGAAGGCGGCUUCCUGGACGAUUACUGACGCUGAGACGCGAAAGCGUGGGGAGCAAACAGG
Molecule: ribosomal RNA, 253 nt
Filed under: uncultured bacterium
Lineage: Bacteria
Description: partial 16S ribosomal RNA
Rfam family: Bacterial small subunit ribosomal RNA
Source: RNAcentral